RNAcentral lists this ribosomal RNA (380 nucleotides) under uncultured archaeon. RNAcentral's name for it is "bacterial SSU rRNA". It matches the Rfam family "Archaeal small subunit ribosomal RNA", at positions 473 to 853 of the family's 1478-position model. The record is from RNAcentral.
AUACCAGCUCUCCGAGUGGUGUGGACGUUUAUUGGGCCUAAAGCAUCCGUAGCUGGCUGAACAAGUCCCCUGUUAAACCCACCGAUUUAAUCGUUGGUGUGCGGGAGAUACUGCUCGGCUAGGGGACGAGAGAGACAGACGGUAUUCCCGGAGUAGGGGUGAAAUCCUAUAAUCCCGAGAAGACCACCAGUGGCGAAGGCUGUCUGCUAGAACGCGCCCGAUGGUGAGGGAUGAAAGCUGGGGGAGCGAACCGGAUUAGAUACCCGGGUAGUCCCAGCUGUAAACGAUGCAGACUAGGUGUUUAAACGGCCACGUGCCGUUCUAGUGCCGCAGAGAAGCUGUUAAGUCUGCCGCCUGAGGAGUACGAUCGCAAGAUUGAA